GUAACAUUACUGGAUGAAAGCCCUGCCUCUCUCUCAUCAUUACGGUUCCGAUGACCGCUCCUGAUACACUAGUAUGUGUACACA
This is a small RNA of Bacillus manliponensis, 84 nucleotides long. It matches the Rfam family "BsrC". Rfam says of the family: The 301 nucleotide sequence from Kouji Nakamura has been trimmed to a highly conserved ~85 nucleotide long core to form this family. NCBI's taxonomy places the organism in Bacteria, Bacillati, Bacillota, Bacilli, Caryophanales, Bacillaceae. The record is from Rfam.